GGUACAUGUAGGAACUAGUGAAUCCCUAUCUCAGGGAGAAAUCACUAGACCCCUAACUUAGUGGAAUCCCUAUCUCAGGAAGAGACCACUAGAAACUAAAGUACAAAGAAAAGCCAAGAAACCAAAAAAAAAUAAAAACCUAGAUCUAGCUCCUCAAGGAGGUAAUACAAAGAUCAAUGGCCAUAGCCAAAGACGUGGCUUUAAUUCUUCGAGCUUCACAUAAGCGGGUAAGGUGGACCAUUCCGGUGACGAAUAGGGCAGAUCUGGUGAAGAAAACGCUCAUCAGUUUUGGAGGAGCUUAACCGACAGCGACUGGGGGCGGAGUCAAUGAAGAAUCGUCGAGAUUCAAUUCCAGCCGCGACUCUGCCCUGGCGAAGCAUUCGGACCUGCCGGACCAUGAGGGUGUCCCAAACACCAUCAACGCUUUGGUUCUCGGACUUUUAUUCAGAGUCGUCGGUGUCCAGGUCCACAUUCCUUUUUGGCAUCUGUCCACCCAAACGAGACGCAAGAUUCACUCUCUCGAACGACCAUGAAGAUAUAAUCAAUCGCUCAUUGUCUACUCUGAACUUGGACUACAUCGAUUUCACUCAUUAUCUGCCUCCUUGCAUUUUGACUAUUAUUAUGGAAUGGGAUUGCCCUCCCAUAUGGAACCGAGUGCUUAGACACUCGCUUAAGAACAGGGGUGUUAUCACACCCCCUAACUGUGUGCUACUUGGAUGCAGGAUUAUUGAGCCGGCUAGUUGCCCCAUAAAUUGCAGAUCCUAGGGAAAAAUCUCCACCCCUCCAUUGUGGUCCAUUUUAUAUCUAACUUCAUUGUCUUUUCUUAAUGUCCUAAUGAUUUAUAAGCUUGUAUGAAAUCGAGUGUUCCAUCACUCGCAAAUGUAUGGUUACAUACGUGACCAGGCUCUUGAAGCCCUAUCGAACCAA
Long non-coding RNA from Beta vulgaris subsp. vulgaris (sugar beet), 927 nucleotides. RefSeq lists it as uncharacterized. Lineage: Eukaryota; Viridiplantae; Streptophyta; Magnoliopsida; Caryophyllales; Amaranthaceae. The record is from RefSeq and is a predicted model, not a curated record. The transcript is spliced from 2 exons.